UACGAAGGGGGCUAGCGUUGCUCGGAAUCACUGGGCGUAAAGCGCACGUAGGCGGCUCUUUAAGUCAGAGGUGAAAUCCUGGGGCUCAACCCCAGAACUGCCUUUGAUACUGAGGAGCUUGAGUCCGGGAGAGGUGAGUGGAACUGCGAGUGUAGAGGUGAAAUUCGUAGAUAUUCGCAAGAACACCAGUGGCGAAGGCGGCUCACUGGCCCGAUACUGACGCUGAUGCACGAAAGCGUGGGGAGCAAACAGG
RNAcentral lists this ribosomal RNA (253 nucleotides) under uncultured bacterium. RNAcentral's name for it is "partial 16S ribosomal RNA". It matches the Rfam family "Bacterial small subunit ribosomal RNA", at positions 524 to 776 of the family's 1533-position model. The record is from RNAcentral.